This 494-nucleotide ribosomal RNA is filed under the name uncultured bacterium. RNAcentral describes it as "partial 16S ribosomal RNA". It matches the Rfam family "Bacterial small subunit ribosomal RNA", at positions 28 to 523 of the family's 1533-position model. The record is from RNAcentral.
GAUGGACGCUGGCGGCGUGCUUAACACAUGCAAGUCGAACGGGAAUUACUUUAUUGAAACUUCGGUCGAUCUAAUUUAAUUCUAGUGGCGGACGGGUGAGUAACGCGUGGGUAACCUGCCUUGUACAGGGGGAUAACAGUCAGAAAUGACUGCUAAUACCGCAUAAGCGCACAGAGCUGCAUGGCUCGGUGUGAAAAACUCCGGUGGUAUAAGAUGGACCCGCGUUAGAUUAGCUAGUUGGUGAGGUAACGGCCCACCAAGGCGACGAUCCAUAGCCGGCCUGAGAGGGUGAACGGCCACAUUGGGACUGAGACACGGCCCAGACUCCUACGGGAGGCAGCAGUGGGGAAUAUUGCACAAUGGGGGAAACCCUGAUGCAGCGACGCCGCGUGAAGGAAGAAGUAUCUCGGUAUGUAAACUUCUAUCAGCAGGGAAGAGAUUGACGGUACCUGACUAAGAAGCCCCGGCUAACUACGUGCCAGCCGCCGCAGUAA